UUUUUUUUUUUUUUUGUCUUUUUUUUUUUUUGCUAUUUCUUGGGCCGCUCCCGUGGCAUAUGGAGAUUCCCAGGCUAGGGGUCUAAUCGGAGCCGUAGCCACCAGCCUACGCCAGAGCCACAGCAACUCGGGAUCCAAGCUGCGUCUGCAACCUACACCACAGCUCACGGCAACGCCGGAUUGUUAACCCACUGAGCAAGGGCAGGGACCGAACCCGCAACCUCAUGGUUCCUAGUCAAAUUCGUUAACCACUGCGCCACGACGGGAACUCCUGUACUCCUGGAUUUGAUAUGCUAAAAUUUUUUUUUGAACUUGUGCAUCUAUGCUCAUUAGACAUAUUGGUCUGUAGUUACAUUUUCUUGAAAUUCUUUGGCUUGCUCUCAGAGAAUGGUUUGUGUCCUUCAAGGAAUUUGUCUAUGUAUUCUAAGUUGUCAACUUUAAUUUGGAUUGUCAUUCACAGUAUUCACUCAACAUCUCUUUUUUGUAUUUGUAGAAAAUGUAAUUAUACUACUAAUGGGUUUUAAAUACCUAUAUUUUUUCAUUUUAGUGGAUACAAUAAUAGUCUGUCCUUUCUGAGGCAAGGACAGACUAUUAUUACUUACAGCAAUACCUACAUUGAUUUCCUUAGUAGUUUUCCAUUCUUGGAAGAAGAGAGUCAGAAAUCACCUAGUAUAUACCAGGGUCUGAACUAUAGGUGAGGAACUGCAAAAAUUUGAAUUGAAAAACCUAUGUAAAUGUUGAACUCUCUUCUUGUAAACAGUUUCUCCUUAGGAGGAGAGGGGAGGAAAACAUAUAAAUGUUUGUAGCCUUUUGCUUGAACUACAAUAAUAGCAGUUUUUUAUAAUUAAUUUAUUGUAUGUUAUCUGCGUAUAUGCCUUUUCUAUCUCACUAGCUCAUCAACUUUUAGAGAGAAGGCAAAGCUUAUAAGUGCAUAUCUUACUGUCCUAUAUAUAGUGUAUUUAAAGUAAGUAUUUAAUUGAAUAAUGGUAUGAUCUUGCCUUCUUGGGAGCUCUUCAAGCAAGCGUUAUCUGAACUAUUUUGGUUUAUAUAUACUGAGCUUUCCAACCAGCUAGAUUAUAACCUGCUUGAGGGUAGAGGCAUGACUUAAAUUCUUUGUUCUUUUUACAAUUCGAUAAAUUUUUUGUAUACUUUUUUGUUUUUGAAACAAAGGUGUUCAUUGAUAGUGUUAACAUAAGAGGAGGGCCUAGUGAUGAAAAAUAGUGUGAUGUGUGUUAUAAAAUGUGAUGCUUUCAUUAAGCCCUCCGUCUUUGGAAAGGUAUAAAACACAGCCCAUCACCAGAAAGAAAAUAAUGUUACUCUUAGACAGUUGCACAGUUUCUAGAAGAUGCAAUAAUUUAUUUUUUAUGAUUCUCAUCAAGUUGCUUUUUAGCUAAUAUGAAAAUCUGUCUCAGAUGGGAAUAUGAUCUCUCUUUGGCUAUUCUCAUUUUUUCCUUUUUGCCUUUUAUUUUCUGAAUUCUGGAAACUGUUCAAGUUCUGAGCUUUGUCGUAGAUUCCAUCUAGAAAGAGGUGGUGGGGGAAUCUCUCAAUAUUCAUAGAAAAAUGUGUUAUGUCUUCUGUGUAUAUCUAAGUGGAACAUCUCUACAUACAACAUGCUUUUCCUUUACUGAUAGUAACCAUUAUUCAGAGCAUAAGAGGUUCCUGUGUAAAAAAGAAAGCUGUUGUCUCUACUCUGCUUUCCCUGUUAGAGGUUGGGAGUGAGAGAGAAAGAAAAGAGCUGAGGAGAAAGGAAAAUUCAGGCCGUCCAUAUGAAACAUGGGUGAACUCAAAUUUGAGUUUGAAUUUACCAAUUUCAACAGGAUUUUAACAACCAGUUUCUUUUUCUAAAAUUAAAGAAAUGCAUCAAAUCCUGUCCUAUCGCCUCUGAGGAUUAGUGGGCCUGACUGAAUCUAUUUGCUCCAGAGGCAGAAUAGGACUCGAAGGGAUCUUGGAGAACUUUAAUCCAGAACCUCUCUUUUUGCAGUUCUCUAAUCUCUACUCUUUUUAGAACAGCCUAAAAUUCCAUUGUAUCUUAUAGUCCAGCUUCUGUCAAUUUGUCAGUGCCUCAGAAAAUGAAGUGUUCUUUCUUGGCGACCUCAUGGAAAGUCACUUUCACAUUAAUUUCUUUCUUUGCUUUGAAUUCAUCUUUAAAUCAACACAGUUUAAAAUGAAAUUGCUGUUUAAAAGCAAGUUUUUUGAUUUUAGUGGAUAUUUGGAACUUUGGGAUAAAACGUAUUUUUCUUCACAGCAAAUAUUCUACACCAUUCACAACUUUAAAAAUAAAUCCCAAAUCUAUAAAACUUAAUAAAAUCCUCAUGAAAAGUAUUGUAAGGAGGCCUCAAUAGCUGUUGAGAUGGAAAAGAAGUAUUUUUGAGUGUGUGAUAUGCGGGGAAGGAGAGAUUAGCUAACCAGAAAUGUAACUACAGAAAGCAUUACUCCACACAUACAGGCCAGUGGCUGAAAUUCACUC
RNAcentral lists this long non-coding RNA (2467 nucleotides) under Sus scrofa (pig). Its description in RNAcentral is "lncRNA (ENSSSCG00040010003.1)". The record is from RNAcentral. Lineage: Eukaryota; Metazoa; Chordata; Mammalia; Artiodactyla; Suidae.